AUGUUCUCGUCACAAUCGCUCAGCCACGUCAACAACAUUCGAACUGCGCUCAUCAACGCGCAGAAGGGCAACCAAUCGGUCACCUCCUACUUCGCCUCCCUGCGCGGCCUCACCGAUGAACUCGCCGCCGCCGGCAAACCCAUCCAGGACGACGAGUUGAUCUCGUACAUCCUCCACGGGCUCGACGUCGACUACCAGCCGCUCGUCUCUGCUCUCGACGCCCGCAUCACGCCUGUCACCCUCGACGAGCUCUAUGCCAUGCUGAGUAACUUCGACCAGCGCAUGGCCCAAUUCCAUGGCUCCUCUGGU
This 309-nucleotide ribosomal RNA is filed under the name Triticum aestivum (bread wheat). Its description in RNAcentral is "partial small subunit ribosomal RNA". Lineage: Eukaryota; Viridiplantae; Streptophyta; Magnoliopsida; Poales; Poaceae. The record is from RNAcentral.